RNAcentral lists this ribosomal RNA (782 nucleotides) under uncultured archaeon. RNAcentral describes it as "bacterial SSU rRNA". It matches the Rfam family "Archaeal small subunit ribosomal RNA", at positions 81 to 859 of the family's 1478-position model. The record is from RNAcentral.
GCGAACAGCUCAGUAACACGUGGCCAAACUACCCUGUGGACACGGAUUCUCGGGAAACUGAGGUCAAUCCGCGAUAGGGCUUCCAUCCUGGAGUGGAGGAAGUUCGAAACGUUGCGCUGCGGCGCCACAGGAUGUGGCUGCGGCCGAUUAGGUAGACGGUGGGGUAACGGCCCACCGUGCCAGUAAUCGGUACGGGUGAUGAGAGUCAGAGCCCGGAGACGGUAUCUGAGACAAGAUACCGGGCCCUACGGGGCGCAGCAGGCGCGCAACCUUUACACUGCACGCGAGUGCGAUAGGGGGACUCCGAGUGCGAGGGCAUAUAGUCCUCGCUUUUCUGGACCGUAAGGAGGUCCAAGAAUAAGGGCUGGGCAAGACCGGUGCCAGCCGCCGCGGUAAUACCGGCAGCCCGAGUGAUGGCCGCGAUUAUUGGGCCUAAAGCGUUCGUAGCCUGCCGGACAAGUCCGUUGGGAAAUCCACGCGCUCAACGCGUGGGCGUCCAGCGGAAACUGUCCGGCUUGGGGCCGGAAGACUCGAGGGGUACGUCCAGGGUAGGAGUGAAAUCCCGUAAUCCUGGACGGACCGCCGGUAGCGAAAGCGCCUCGAGAGGACGGACCCGACGGUGAGGAACGAAAGCUAGGGUCUCGAACCGGAUUAGAUACCCGGGUAGUCCUAGCCGUAAACGAUGUUCGCUAGAUGUGGCACAGGCUACGUGCCUGUGCUGUGUCGUAGGGAAGCCGAGAAGCGAACCGCCUGGGAAGUACGUCCGCAAGGAUGAAACUUAA